UCCGAAUUGGUGUAGUGGCUAACAUUUGACGCUCUCAUGUCUAAACAACGUUGAACCGUCAAGCCCGGGGUUCGAUUCCCCGAUUCGGAG
This is a non-coding RNA of Hypoxylon fuscum, 90 nucleotides long. The record is from the annotation of a GenBank genome assembly. Lineage: Eukaryota; Fungi; Ascomycota; Sordariomycetes; Xylariales; Hypoxylaceae.